RNAcentral lists this unclassified non-coding RNA (295 nucleotides) under fungal sp. Its description in RNAcentral is "partial internal transcribed spacer region". The stretch from base 1 to 46 matches the Rfam family "Eukaryotic small subunit ribosomal RNA", at positions 1786 to 1831 of the family's 1831-position model. Lineage: Eukaryota; Fungi. The record is from RNAcentral.
AAGUCGUAACAAGGUUUCCGUAGGUGAACCUGCGGAAGGAUCAUUAACACGUAUCCAACGUUAAACAACCCUGUGAACUUUAAGCCUACUCUUGCAGCCCAUGAGGAACAGUCCCGGUAAAUCAUUGCCAAACUGUUUUGUCCAAAAGGAGUUGCAAUUGAGUGGUAGAUGCAGUGGCAUGGCUUCCCCAAGCAGUUAGUGUCACUGACUGUGUAAGGAUAACGCCUCACGGUUGCCAGAGGUCGAUCACGUAAAAAAAACCGCACAACUGUUAACAAUGGAUAUCUUGGUUCUC